GAUGAAGAACGCAGCGAAAUGCGAUAAGUAAUGUGAAUUGCAGAAUUCAGUGAAUCAUCGAAUCUUUGAACGCACCUUGCGCCCCUUGGUUAUUCCAAAGGGCAUGCCUGUUUGAGUAUCAUGAACACCUCAACUCUUGUGGUUUCCCACAAUGAGCUUGGACUGUGGAGGUUUUGUUGGCCCUGUGGUCAGCUCCUCUCAAAUGGAUCAGCUUACCGGUGUUUGGUGGCAUUACGGGUGUGAUAACUAUCUACGCUCGUGGUCGUCUCCAAAUAACCUCCAGUGAUGGAGGUUCGCUGGAGCUUAUAAAUGUCUCUCCCCAGUGGAGACAGCCUUUGAACGUUCGAUCUCAAAUCAGGUAGGACUACCCGCUGAACUUAAGCAUAUCAAUAAGCGGAGGA
RNAcentral lists this unclassified non-coding RNA (401 nucleotides) under soil metagenome. RNAcentral describes it as "partial contains 5.8S ribosomal RNA, internal transcribed spacer 2, and large subunit ribosomal RNA". The stretch from base 1 to 121 matches the Rfam family "5.8S ribosomal RNA", at positions 35 to 154 of the family's 154-position model. The record is from RNAcentral.